AACGCAAGUUGCGCUUCCGGGAAAACGCUCGGGAGCAUGCCUCUUUGAGCAUCGGUUUUGCUCUACCGAGAUCUUUUCUCUUUUGCUUGGGUUGACCCAAGGGGGGGAGAGGAGGAGGAUGGUGGUUGAAAGGGGGGGAACUCUCCAAAGUCCCCAAAUCAUCCACUCAAAGUGUAGAAAACAGGGCGGGCUCUCUCUCAAUGGAAAGAGUGCUUUUGGAAUGUCUAAAUAACCAAACAGUCAUCCAAAUGGACACCAAAGAGAAAAGCGCCCCUCUCACCAAACGAGGUGUGUGGUCUCUCUCUUUUGAACCAAAAAAGAAAAAAGACCCACACACACCCCACUCCAACAAAUCAGAUCUCAAAUGAGGCAAGAGGACCCGCUGAACUUAA
This 392-nucleotide unclassified non-coding RNA is filed under the name uncultured fungus. Its description in RNAcentral is "partial contains 5.8S ribosomal RNA, internal transcribed spacer 2, and large subunit ribosomal RNA". The record is from RNAcentral. Lineage: Eukaryota; Fungi.